RNAcentral lists this ribosomal RNA (142 nucleotides) under uncultured eukaryote. RNAcentral's name for it is "partial 18S ribosomal RNA". It matches the Rfam family "Eukaryotic small subunit ribosomal RNA", at positions 1299 to 1458 of the family's 1831-position model. The record is from RNAcentral.
UGGUGGAGUGAUUUGUCUGGUUAAUUCCGUUAACGAACGAGACCUUAACCUGCUAAAUAGUUACGUGAACCUUUGCGUUCGUGGACAACUUCUUAGAGGGACUUUUGCGUGUUUUAACCAAAGGAAGUUUGAGGCAAUAACA